AUUGAACGCUGGCGGCAGGCCUAACACAUGCAAGUCGAGCGGAUGAAGGGAGCUUGCUCCUGGAUUCAGCGGCGGACGGGUGAGUAAUGCCUAGGAAUCUGCCUGGUAGUGGGGGAUAACGUCCGGAAACGGGCGCUAAUACCGCAUACGUCCUGAGGGAGAAAGUGGGGGAUCUUCGGACCUCACGCUAUCAGAUGAGCCUAGGUCGGAUUAGCUAGUUGGUGGGGUAAAGGCCUACCAAGGCGACGAUCCGUAACUGGUCUGAGAGGAUGAUCAGUCACACUGGAACUGAGCCACGGUCCAGACUCCUACGGGAGGCAGCAGUGGGGAAUAUUGGACAAUGGGCGAAAGCCUGAUCCAGCCAUGCCGCGUGUGUGAAGAAGGUCUUCGGAUUGUAAAGCACUUUAAGUUGGGAGGAAGGGCAGUAAGUUAAUACCCUGCUGUUUUGACGUUACCAACAGAAUAAGCACCGGCUAACUUCGUG
This 484-nucleotide ribosomal RNA is filed under the name uncultured bacterium. RNAcentral's name for it is "partial 16S ribosomal RNA". It matches the Rfam family "Bacterial small subunit ribosomal RNA", at positions 30 to 507 of the family's 1533-position model. The record is from RNAcentral.